UAUCUUGUAGACUAAUAGGUAAGUCAUAAAUUUUUGGUAUUUACUAUUGAGUGUUCGAAUCACUCCAAGAUAA
RNAcentral lists this transfer RNA (73 nucleotides) under Tolypocladium ophioglossoides. RNAcentral describes it as "tRNA-Gln". It matches the Rfam family "tRNA". From Rfam's summary of the family: Transfer RNA (tRNA) molecules are approximately 80 nucleotides in length. Lineage: Eukaryota; Fungi; Ascomycota; Sordariomycetes; Hypocreales; Ophiocordycipitaceae. The record is from RNAcentral.